UGUGUAGGUGGCUUGGCAAGUUGGAUGUGAAAGCCCUUGGCUCAACCAAGGAAUUGCAUUCAAAACUGCUUGGCUUGAGUGCGGGAGAGGGAAGCAGAACUCCUAGUGUAGAGGUGAAAUUCGUAGAUAUUAGGAGGAAUACCCGUGGCGAAGGCGGCUUCCUGGACCGACACUGACACUGAGACACGAAAGCGUGGGGAGCAAACAGGAUUAGAUACCCUGGUAGUCC
This 229-nucleotide ribosomal RNA is filed under the name uncultured bacterium. RNAcentral's name for it is "partial 16S ribosomal RNA". It matches the Rfam family "Bacterial small subunit ribosomal RNA", at positions 568 to 796 of the family's 1533-position model. The record is from RNAcentral.